RNAcentral lists this ribosomal RNA (492 nucleotides) under uncultured bacterium. RNAcentral describes it as "partial 16S ribosomal RNA". It matches the Rfam family "Bacterial small subunit ribosomal RNA", at positions 29 to 507 of the family's 1533-position model. The record is from RNAcentral.
AUUGAACGCUGGCGGCAUGCUUUACACAUGCAAGUCGAACGGUAACAGGCCUUCGGGUGCUGACGAGUGGCGAACGGGUGAGUAAUGCAUCGGAACGUACCCAGAGGUGGGGGAUAACGCAGCGAAAGCUGUGCUAAUACUGCAUGUGAUCUGAGGAUGAAAGCGGGGGACCGAGCAGCAAUGUUUGGCCUCGCGCCUUUGGAGCGGCCGAUGUCGGAUUAGCUAGUUGGUGGGGUAAAGGCCGACCAAGGCGACGAUCCGUAGCUGGUCUGAGAGGACGACCAGCCACACUGGGACUGAGACACGGCCCAGACUCCUACGGGAGGCAGCAGUGGGGAAUUUUGGACAAUGGGCGCAAGCCUGAUCCAGCAAUGCCGCGUGCGGGAAGAAGGCCCUCGGGUUGUAAACCGCUUUUGGCAGGAACGAAACGGUGUCCGCUAAUACCGGGCGCUAAUGACGGUACCUGCAGAAUAAGCACCGGCUAACUACGUG